AUUGAACGCUGGCGGAAUGCUUUACACAUGCAAGUCGAACGGCAGCACGGACUUCGGUCUGGUGGCGAGUGGCGAACGGGUGAGUAAUAUAUCGGAACGUGCCCAGUCGUGGGGGAUAACGUAGCGAAAGCUACGCUAAUACCGCAUACGAUCUACGGAUGAAAGCGGGGGAUCGCAAGACCUCGCACGACUGGAGCGGCCGAUAUCAGAUUAGGUAGUUGGUGAGGUAAAGGCUCACCAAGCCGACGAUCUGUAGCUGGUCUGAGAGGACGACCAGCCACACUGGGACUGAGACACGGCCCAGACUCCUACGGGAGGCAGCAGUGGGGAAUUUUGGACAAUGGACGCAAGUCUGAUCCAGCCAUUCCGCGUGCAGGACGAAGGCCUUCGGGUUGUAAACUGCUUUUGUACAGAACGAAAAGGUCUCUAUUAAUACUAGGGGCUCAUGACGGUACUGUAAGAAUAAGCACCGGCUAACUACGUGCCAGCAGCCGCCGUAA
Molecule: ribosomal RNA, 500 nt
Filed under: uncultured bacterium
Lineage: Bacteria
Description: partial 16S ribosomal RNA
Rfam family: Bacterial small subunit ribosomal RNA
Source: RNAcentral